This 207-nucleotide ribosomal RNA is filed under the name uncultured bacterium. RNAcentral describes it as "partial 16S ribosomal RNA". It matches the Rfam family "Bacterial small subunit ribosomal RNA", at positions 568 to 774 of the family's 1533-position model. The record is from RNAcentral.
CGCGUAGGUGGCUAGGUAAGCGUGCGGUGAAAGCCCGGGGCUCAACCCCGGGUCGGCCGUGCGGACUGCCUGGCUUGAGCACGGUAGAGGCCGAUAGAAUUCCGGGUGUAGCGGUGGAAUGCGUAGAGAUCCGGAAGAACACCGGUGGCGAAGGCGGUCGGCUGGGCCGUUGCUGACACUGAUGCGCGACAGCGUGGGGAGCAAACA